RNAcentral lists this ribosomal RNA (1177 nucleotides) under uncultured Prochlorococcus sp. RNAcentral's name for it is "bacterial SSU rRNA". It matches the Rfam family "Bacterial small subunit ribosomal RNA", at positions 49 to 1283 of the family's 1533-position model. The record is from RNAcentral. Lineage: Bacteria; Bacillati; Cyanobacteriota; Cyanophyceae; Synechococcales; Prochlorococcaceae.
UAACACAUGCAAGUCGAACGAACCUUCGGGUUAGUGGCGGACGGGUGAGUAACGCGUGAGAAUCUGCCCUCAGGAGGGGGAUAACGGUUGGAAACGACCGCUAAUACCCCAUAUGCCUAUUGGUGAAAUGAAUUUCGCCUGAGGAUGAGCUCGCGUCUGAUUAGCUAGUUGGUGAGGUAAUGGCUCACCAAGGCUUCGAUCAGUAGCUGGUCUGAGAGGAUGAUCAACCACACUGGGACUGAGACACGGCCCAGACUCCUACGGGAGGCAGCAGUGGGGAAUUUUCCGCAAUGGGCGAAAGCCUGACGGAGCAACGCCGCGUGAGGGACGAAGGCCUCUGGGCUGUAAACCUCUUUUCUCAAGGAAGAAGAUAUGACGGUACUUGAGGAAUAAGCCACGGCUAAUUCCGUGCCAGCAGCCGCGGUAAUACGGGAGUGGCAAGCGUUAUCCGGAAUUAUUGGGCGUAAAGCGUCCGCAGGCGGCUUUUCAAGUCUGCUGUUAAAGCGUGGAGCUUAACUCCAUCAUGGCAGUGGAAACUGAAAGGCUUGAGUAUGGUAGGGGCAGAGGGAAUUCCCGGUGUAGCGGUGAAAUGCGUAGAUAUCGGGAAGAACACCAGUGGCGAAGGCGCUCUGCUGGGCCAUUACUGACGCUCAUGGACGAAAGCCAGGGGAGCGAAAGGGAUUAGAUACCCCUGUAGUCCUGGCCGUAAACGAUGAACACUAGGGUGUCGGGGGAAUCGACCCCUUCGGUGUCGUAGCUAACGCGUUAAGUGUUCCGCCUGGGGAGUACGCACGCAAGUGUGAAACUCAAAGGAAUUGACGGGGGCCCGCACAAGCGGUGGAGUAUGUGUUUAAUUCGAUGCAACGCGAAGACCUUACCAGGGUUUGACAUCCUGCGAACCUCUUAGAAAUUUGAGGGUGCCUUCGGGAAUGCAGUGACAGGUGGUGCAUGGCCUGUCGUCAGCUCGUGUCGUGGAGAUGUUGGGAUAAGUCCCGCAACGAGCGCAACCCACGUUUUAGUUGCCAGCAUUUAGUUGGGCCACUCUAGAAGACCGCUGGUGGAUACCGGAGGAAGGUGGAUGACGUCAAGUCAUCAUGCCCUUACACCUGGCCUACAACCGUACUACAAUGCUACGGACAAGGGCAGCAAACUCCGGGGGCUAGCAAUCCAUAAACCU